Molecule: ribosomal RNA, 271 nt
Filed under: uncultured prokaryote
Description: partial 16S ribosomal RNA
Rfam family: Bacterial small subunit ribosomal RNA
Source: RNAcentral
UACGGAGGAUCCGAGCGUUAUCCGGAUUUAUUGGGUUUAAAGGGUGCGCAGGCGGGAGAUUAAGUCGGCGGUGAAAUUUUGCAGCUCAACUGUAAAAGUGCCUUCGAAACUGGUUUCCUUGAGUGUGGAUGAAGUAGGCGGAAUUUGUGGUGUAGCGGUGAAAUGCGUAGAUAUUACGAGGAACUCCGAUUGCGCAGGCAGCUUACUAAACUAUUACUGACGCUCAUGCACGAAGGUGUGGGGAUCAAACAGGAUUAGAUAUCCGUGUAGU